This 29-nucleotide non-coding RNA is filed under the name Mus musculus (house mouse). Lineage: Eukaryota; Metazoa; Chordata; Mammalia; Rodentia; Muridae. The record is from RNAcentral.
UUAGAACCGUGGCACAGAAGAAGUGCUCA